RNAcentral lists this ribosomal RNA (203 nucleotides) under uncultured bacterium. Its description in RNAcentral is "partial 16S ribosomal RNA". It matches the Rfam family "Bacterial small subunit ribosomal RNA", at positions 524 to 724 of the family's 1533-position model. The record is from RNAcentral.
UACGUAGGUGGCAAGCGUUGUCCGGAUUUACUGGGCGUAAAGAGCGCGCAGGCGGUCUUGUAAGUCGAAUGUGAAAGCCCCCUGGCUCAACCGGGGAGGGUCAUUCGAUACUGCUCGACUCGAAGGCAGGAGAGGGAAGCGGAAUUCCCGGUGUAGUGGUGAAAUGCGUAGAUAUCGGGGAGGAACACCAGUGGCGAAGGCGG